Molecule: non-coding RNA, 240 nt
Organism: Pelobates cultripes (western spadefoot toad)
Lineage: Eukaryota; Metazoa; Chordata; Amphibia; Anura; Pelobatidae
Source: the annotation of a GenBank genome assembly
GCUGAACCCGCUAAGCGGGUCGGCUGCUUGAAAUAAAACCUCAGAUAAAUGUGCAUUGGAAGUACAUUUAUUGGCAUAGGUGGGAGUUGGUGGAGACACUAUGUAAUAGCCCCACCUGCUCAUAGACAGAGGUUACGGGGGUAGGAAUACCUCUCACACACUGACAAUGGGUGGGGGCAGAGGGAUGGACAGUGACAUGUCAAUUUUAAGCCCAACCCAAUGCCUAUAGGUGGGGGCAAA